RNAcentral lists this ribosomal RNA (254 nucleotides) under uncultured bacterium. RNAcentral's name for it is "partial 16S ribosomal RNA". It matches the Rfam family "Bacterial small subunit ribosomal RNA", at positions 524 to 776 of the family's 1533-position model. The record is from RNAcentral.
UACGUAGGGUGCGAGCGUUGUCCGGAAUUAUUGGGCGUAAAGAGCUCGUAGGCGGUUCGAUAAGUCGGAUGUGAAAUCUCCACGCUCAACGUGGAGAGGCCAUUCGAUACUGUCGUGACUCGAGUCCGGUAGGGGAGUGUGGAAUUCCCGGUGUAGCGGUGAAAUGCGCAGAGAUCGGGAGGAACACCCGUAGCGAAGGCGGCACUCUGGGCCGGUACUGACGCUGAGACGCGAAAGCGUGGGGAGCGAACAGG